This 389-nucleotide ribosomal RNA is filed under the name uncultured bacterium. RNAcentral's name for it is "bacterial SSU rRNA". It matches the Rfam family "Bacterial small subunit ribosomal RNA", at positions 28 to 417 of the family's 1533-position model. The record is from RNAcentral.
GACGAACGCUGGCGGCGUGCUUAACACAUGCAAGUCGAGCGGUAAGGCCCUUUCGGGGUACGACGAGCGGCGAACGGGUGAGUAACACGUGGGUGACCUGCCCUCAGCUCUGGGAUAAGCCUGGGAAACCGGGUCUAAUACUGGAUAUGACUCCAUGACGCAUGUUGUGGGGUGGAAAGCCUUGUGCGGCUGAGGAUGGGCCCGCGGCCUAUCAGCUUGUUGGUGGGGGUGAGGCCUACCAAGGCGACGACGGUAGCCGGCCUGAGAGGGCGACCGGCCACACUGGGACUGAGACACGGCCCAGACUCCUACGGGAGGCAGCAGUGGGGAAGUCUUGCGCAAUGGGGCGAAAGCCUGACGCAGCGACGCCGCGUGAGGGAUGACGGCCU